UUGAAUGUUAAAAUUAUGUUUCAGAACUUUGAUCUGAUAUAAAAUGUAAAUCUAAGAAUAUGAUGAAUAAAGUUUAAAUGCCAACUCUACUAAAUAGAUUUUUUUGACCAAAUGACAAUCCAAGGUGAGAGGAUGGGUGAGCAACCAAUAUUCACGUGUAAAGCACAUGUCUUUCAUAUUGAUCCAAAAACUAAAAGAUCUUGGAUCCCGGCUUCUAAUGCAGCAGUUGCGGUUUCAUUCUUCUAUGAUUCUUCAAGAGCACUGUACAGGAUUAUAUCUGUGGAAGGAACAAAAGCGGUAAUUAACUCCACAAUUACACCAAACAUGACGUUCACCAAGACAAGUCAGAAAUUUGGCCAGUGGUCAGAUGUCAGAGCGAAUACAGUAUACGGACUAGGGUUCUCCUCUGAGGCAGAGCUAAACAAAUUUAUUGAAAAGUUUGCAGAGGUUAAAGAUGCCACCCGGGCAGGAAAAGCCAAUGGUAGUGGAACCACCCCGACAACGAGUGCCAAUGCUAGCCCUGUAACCGCAAGAUCAGGCAAAGAAUACAACGACAACUUGGAACACAUUCCUCCAAAUCAAAAUGAUGCGGUCAACUCAAACCUUCUUAAAUCCCAGCUAACUAUAGGUUCUGACAGUCCAAAGAAAGCUGGUCUGCCUGACAAGGUCCCUGCCCCGGCUUUAAACGGUGAUGCUCAGCUCAAAUAUGAGAAUGACCGGCUUAAGCUCGCGCUAGCUCAGAGCUCUGCUAAUGCAAAGAAGUGGGAGGUAGAACUAUUGACUCUGAAGAACAACAACGCCAGGUUGACCAGCGCGCUGCAGGAGUCAACCUCGAAUGUGGAGGAAUGGAAACGCCAACUUCAUUCAUACAAGGAGGAGAAUGCCAGGCUAAAAAUGAAUCUGCUUGAAGCUGAGGCCGGGAGAGGAAACUGUGAUUACGAUGCAGUUGGGGAGCUUAGAGAGCUCAGGGCACAUUUCGAGGAUGUUGAACGCGAACUAGGAGAGAAGAACGAAGAAAUUAGAAAACUAAAGACGGAGGGUGGAGGAGGAUCUAAACUAGAUCUAGAGGAGAUUAAGUCUCUCCAGGUGGAGAACGAGAGUUUGAAACUAACCUUGGAUAAAACUCAAUCCCAGUUAGAUACAUCACUUGAUGCUCAGGAUCAGCAGCGGAAGGUUCUGGAAGCGAUAAAUCGUCAAUUCGGCGAUUAUGUUCAUCAUCUGGGAGAAUUGCAGAACGAACUGACCCAGGUGUUAAACACCUAGACUACACUAAGCCACCAGGAGGAGCUAAUGAACUAGGAUUCCAAAUUUCCAAAAUGUCGGGAAACAAGAUUAAAGAGACAGUUAAGAAGAAUCUAGAAAAUUAAUCAAAAUGGUUCGCGCAAUAGAUGUACAGUACACAUGGUUUUUGUUAGUGUGUACAGUGUAUAUGUACAUAUUACACAAGGUACGUAAUGUACAAGAAACAUAUUUUUUCGACAAAAAAGCAAGAUUUUAUCCGAAUGUCGUUUCUUUUUUAAAUGAUUUUAAACUAACAAUAAUUUUUCUAGAUUCUUCAGCAAUUUGAUGGGAUAUAUACAGUCCUAUUCUAAAUAACCCAGAAUAAUAUAAGUUUAUUAAUGAAUUCAUAAAUAGUAUCGACAUUAAAAUAUAGGUAACCUGAUUUUAGCAAUAUUUUUAAUGAAACAUGAAUCACAAAAUAGCCCUAAUCCUGCCAUGUUUUUGCUCUAAAAAAUAAAAAGAUUUUGUUUAAAUUUCAAUUUAUUUAAAAUCGUUCUGAAGAAAAUCAUAUCUCUGAUAUUUUGGAAAUGGCAGGACUAGGAUUAUUGUAAAAAAUAUGCCGGUUACCUUUAAUUAAUGCCGCAAGAUAUUUCUAAGGUCAAAGACGACCUUGAAGUUAUCAAUUGAUCAAUUUAUAUUAGUCCGGGUUAUUUAGAAUAGAAUUCAGGAUUAUAAUUUAUAAUUUGUAAAUAAAUCUAGACUUGUCUUAACAUGAGAUGUAUUCAGUAUUGUAUGUUAUAUGUAUGUAACUAACUAAACCAAAACCUAUGUUCUGAAAAUAUUAUGACGAAAAGUAUUAAUUUACUAAAAAUAAGGCCUAAACUUUAGUGAAAGGGCAAUUUUUUUAAAAAAAACUUCAUUUAAUGAAAAUAACUAAGGUUUAAAAAUUGUAAAGUUUUCUUAAAUAUGUUUUUUCUUUGAAUAAUCUACUUUAAAAAAUAAUUAUAAAUCACAGUAAAGAAAUGAAUUUUUGAUGUUGAAAGCAAAAUUAGGCGACUGUUAACCCCAUAUUGGAAUACAAUUUGUUAAGUAAUUAUGUUUUGUAGUGUAUUGUUAUAUAUUUACAUUCCUGAAAUAAAUGUCUUAAAUUUGAA
RNAcentral lists this unclassified non-coding RNA (2375 nucleotides) under Eurytemora carolleeae. RNAcentral describes it as "homer protein homolog 2". Lineage: Eukaryota; Metazoa; Arthropoda; Copepoda; Calanoida; Temoridae. The record is from RNAcentral.